RNAcentral lists this non-coding RNA (156 nucleotides) under Brucella pecoris. RNAcentral describes it as "Ochrobactrum pecoris sRNA CI27". It matches the Rfam family "Brucella sRNA CI27". Lineage: Bacteria; Pseudomonadati; Pseudomonadota; Alphaproteobacteria; Hyphomicrobiales; Brucellaceae. The record is from RNAcentral.
AACGCGCUUUAAUGCAUGUCUCCCAAAAGUGGGAACCGGUUUUGGGAUAAAGACAUGCAUGAAAACAAACGCUUAAAGCGUGUCGUACGAGUACGAUAGAAUGCGACACGCUUUAAGGUCAUUGGCCUGACGCGAUAACUGCCGGGGUUUUCACCC